UUACGGUCAAAUCACGCUGAAAACACCGGUUCUCGUUCGAUCACCGAAGUUAAGCAUCGUAGAGCCAGGUCAGUACUUAGAUGGGG
Acanthosepion pharaonis is the source of this 86-nucleotide non-coding RNA. Lineage: Eukaryota; Metazoa; Mollusca; Cephalopoda; Sepiida; Sepiidae. The record is from the annotation of a GenBank genome assembly.